Molecule: long non-coding RNA, 848 nt
Organism: Helianthus annuus (common sunflower)
Lineage: Eukaryota; Viridiplantae; Streptophyta; Magnoliopsida; Asterales; Asteraceae
Exons: 2
Source: RefSeq, a predicted model, not a curated record
CUAUUUACUCUCUCCUCUCUCAUCUCCCCCUUUACAUCUCGUUUCCCUCAUCUCCAAAAUCAACUCCUCUGUUACAAACUCCCCAAAAUCAAGCUUUAUAAAAUUAGUCAUAAUCGAUCAAUUCCUUUUGUUAGAAACUCUCCAAAAUCAACCUUUGGAAAAUGAUUUCAAGAUCUUCGAACAACAGGGAGGUGCCAGCGAUGAAACCUCCGACAAACAACACCCACCUAAACCUCCUCUACACACCUCCUUUCGUAAACCCACCUCACGACUCCCUUCUUCCUCAAGUAAACGACCGGCCACCACCAUCUGGUGGUGGCGUACGGCGGCGAAAACACAGUGUAGAGAGAGAGAGAGAGGAACCGUGGAGAGAGAAAGCUGAGUUGGAGAGAGUGGCCGCGGCGGUGGUGCACGUCGAAGCAGCGACGGCGGAAUAUCUGUGGUGGCCGGUGGGUGACGUCGAAGCAGCGACGGCGGAAUAACGACUGCUUUAUCUGUGGUGGCCGGUGGGUGACGUCAAAGCAGCGGCGGCGGCGCAGUGGUGGUCGAGCAGUUCGGGCCAGCAAUGGUGAAAUAAAGAUGACGAUGGUGACUGGCUUGGCAACGGUUGAUGCUCGGUUCGAGGAUUAUCGGUGGUGGUUCCGACGGCAGCGGCGGACCGUCGGGACUCAACGAUUUUUCUGAAGAUUAUUCAUUUAAUUGAGCAUCCAUGUGCAAUGGUGAUAUACGGUGGUGGUUUUUUGAAAUUAAAGUACGUUUGUUGGUAUGUUGGAGUUUUUACAAGGCUAUUUUCUAAGUUUUGAAAUGAUGGACCAACAUCUAUUGGAUAUGCUUGUUUUUUUUUAUUU